RNAcentral lists this ribosomal RNA (1348 nucleotides) under Mycobacterium sp. DWMJ-797B2. Its description in RNAcentral is "bacterial SSU rRNA". It matches the Rfam family "Bacterial small subunit ribosomal RNA", at positions 79 to 1428 of the family's 1533-position model. The record is from RNAcentral. Lineage: Bacteria; Bacillati; Actinomycetota; Actinomycetes; Mycobacteriales; Mycobacteriaceae.
UUCGGAGGUACUCGAGUGGCGAACGGGUGAGUAACACGUGGGCAAUCUGCCCUGCACUUCGGGAUAAGCCUGGGAAACUGGGUCUAAUACCGGAUAGGACCUCAAGACGCAUGUCUUCUGGUGGAAAGCUUUUGCGGUGUGGGAUGGGCCCGCGGCCUAUCAGCUUGUUGGUGGGGUGACGGCCUACCAAGGCGACGACGGGUAGCCGGCCUGAGAGGGUGUCCGGCCACACUGGGACUGAGAUACGGCCCAGACUCCUACGGGAGGCAGCAGUGGGGAAUAUUGCACAAUGGGCGCAAGCCUGAUGCAGCGACGCCGCGUGGGGGAUGACGGCCUUCGGGUUGUAAACCUCUUUCACCAUCGACGAAGGUCCGGGUUUUCUCGGAUUGACGGUAGGUGGAGAAGAAGCACCGGCCAACUACGUGCCAGCAGCCGCGGUAAUACGUAGGGUGCGAGCGUUGUCCGGAAUUACUGGGCGUAAAGAGCUCGUAGGUGGUUUGUCGCGUUGUUCGUGAAAUCUCACGGCUUAACUGUGAGCGUGCGGGCGAUACGGGCAGACUAGAGUACUGCAGGGGAGACUGGAAUUCCUGGUGUAGCGGUGGAAUGCGCAGAUAUCAGGAGGAACACCGGUGGCGAAGGCGGGUCUCUGGGCAGUAACUGACGCUGAGGAGCGAAAGCGUGGGGAGCGAACAGGAUUAGAUACCCUGGUAGUCCACGCCGUAAACGGUGGGUACUAGGUGUGGGUUUCCUUCCUUGGGAUCCGUGCCGUAGCUAACGCAUUAAGUACCCCGCCUGGGGAGUACGGCCGCAAGGCUAAAACUCAAAGGAAUUGACGGGGGCCCGCACAAGCGGCGGAGCAUGUGGAUUAAUUCGAUGCAACGCGAAGAACCUUACCUGGGUUUGACAUGCACAGGACGCGUCUAGAGAUAGGCGUUCCCUUGUGGCCUGUGUGCAGGUGGUGCAUGGCUGUCGUCAGCUCGUGUCGUGAGAUGUUGGGUUAAGUCCCGCAACGAGCGCAACCCUUGUCUCAUGUUGCCAGCGGGUAAUGCCGGGGACUCGUGAGAGACUGCCGGGGUCAACUCGGAGGAAGGUGGGGAUGACGUCAAGUCAUCAUGCCCCUUAUGUCCAGGGCUUCACACAUGCUACAAUGGCCGGUACAAAGGGCUGCGAUGCCGUAAGGUUAAGCGAAUCCUUUUAAAGCCGGUCUCAGUUCGGAUUGGGGUCUGCAACUCGACCCCAUGAAGUCGGAGUCGCUAGUAAUCGGAGAUCAGCAACGCUGCGGUGAAUACGUUCCCGGGCCUUGUACACACCGCCCGUCACGUCAUGAAAGUCGGUAACACCCGAAGCC